UACGUAGGGGGCUAGCGUUGUCCGGAAUCAUUGGGCGUAAAGCGCGUGUAGGCGGUCCGGUAAGUCCGCUGUGAAAGUCGGGGGCUCAACCCUCGAAUGCCGGUGGAUACUGUCGGGCUAGAGUGCGGAAGAGGCGAGUGGAAUUCCUGGUGUAGCGGUGAAAUGCGCAGAUAUCAGGAGGAACACCAAUUGCGAAGGCAGCUCGCUGGGACGUUACUGACACUGAGGCGCGAAAGCGUGGGGAGCGAACAGG
This 253-nucleotide ribosomal RNA is filed under the name uncultured bacterium. RNAcentral's name for it is "partial 16S ribosomal RNA". It matches the Rfam family "Bacterial small subunit ribosomal RNA", at positions 524 to 776 of the family's 1533-position model. The record is from RNAcentral.